CGCUCAUCUUUGUUAUUAAAUCCUGAUCUUACUUCAAUGAUUCCAAAGGGGUGCUUGGCAGUUUAUAUUGGGGAGAGGCAAAGAAGCCGAUUUGUGGUUCCCAUUUCGUACCUGAAUGAGCCUGCCUUUCAAGAAUAGUUAAGUCAAGCCGAGGAAGAAUUUGGAUUCAAUCAUCCGGAAGGAGGUCUUACAAUUCCUUGCUCAGAGGACACAUUCAAUGAAAUCACUUCGCGCCUGAACAAUUUAUAUACUUGUAGAUAGUAUAGCACCUCCGAUCUCAUUUGAUGAGUUUCUGAGUGUAAAUUGCAGAACAUAUAGGAUUUAUAUAUAAUUUUUUGUAGGUAAAGCUUAAUUUGAUACUCGAUUUUUUUGAACAUAUUGACCAUCACAUAUAGUCAUAGAUACUUUUAUUUCUCUAAAGCAUAAUACUAAUUUGAUAAACUUUAUGCCUAAAACAAAUCACUGACACAUAAGGCCGCCAUUUUUAGCAAUUCCAAAUGGCUGCUUAUAUUGGGAACAUCCCAAACAAAGGAAAUUUGUAUUUACUGUUUCAUACCUUAAUUUUGCAAUUGUCUUGAUAAAUCAGCCUUGACAGAAGGGUGAUUUUUGCUAACUCUUAAUUAAAAUUUAUAUUUAUAAGCAGUUCUGACUAAUUUAUAAAUAUAUCUCAGGCAUAGUUUAACCUAUUUAAGUCAUUUAUUAUCACGAAUACUCCUUCUGCUCCUCAGCCUACAGUGGUUAUUAGUUAGCACUUUGUGUAUCAAUGUGUGCAAUGUUGUAGCUAACGCGUUAACUAUCGGGUCUGGGUAGUGCUUUCGCAAGAAUGAAACCUUUUGUUGUUGACCUACCCAAUCGAAAUCAUCAUAAGACUCGUGAUGAUCAACCUUCCGAAUAAGUUCCCAUCGUAUUCAGGCUUUUCAACAAAUUAAGUUAAAAUUUUGUAAUUUUCCUGCAAAGCCUUCUAAGAUCUAAUACAAAUUAAAAUAAAUACUGUACAUAAAAUUUUAUAAGAACUUGACAGAAACUACCCUAACAAUUUCACAUUCUGCCUCUCAAAUCAGAAAAUUUAAAUUUUAAGGUGUUUUUUGUUAACAGAUUAAGAUUUAUAUAAGUCUAAACAAAUCAAUGUGUGUUUUAAAAAAUAAAAAGACUUUUGUGCAUUCCCUCUAGCCGCCUCCUCCAUCUUUUCAUUCCCGACGGGGCUUCCAUCGGUUUUCCGGUGGAAAGCCCCAAAUCUUUCCGUUUGAUUGCUAGUUCUUUGAUUGUUUUUGCUUUUCAUUGAUUUUCUUAAUAAAUCUCCUUCUUUAAGGGGGAAAAUUUCUUAGAUCUAUAUCACCGAACUUUUGAUUUUCGUUCUUAUUCGCUUCCAGAAGGCUUUUUGGAUUUGUGGGUGGAUCGAUUAUCUCUACGUGUCGUGGUGCAGAUCUAAUUGCUUUAGUUUUUAGUUGGAUUUUCUCUAGUUUGUUUGGAUUAUAGUUUGAUUUCUCUCCCUGGUGAGAGUGUGUGAUUUUUCUCUCCUCUUUUGUGAGAGUUGGUUUGGAUUCAUCGAUAAAAGCCUUCGAGAAGUGCAUUUGUGGUUGAUAGCUCAAACGGAGUUUUUGAAAAAGAUAAUGAACACAGAGCAAGGAUCUAUACAUGUACCAUCGUCAAUUUCAACAUCGCUUAUUUGUCUCAUCUUGACUAUGAAGACAGGCAUGUUAAUAUUUUCUAUGUUUGUUCGACUCGAUCAUUCUUGUAGAUGCCGUAUGGCUAUUAUUUAAUGAAUUAUUUCCUUUUCUUCAAAAAAAAAAAAAAGAUUUAUAUAAGUCUCAGUCUUAUAUAAAAUGUCUGGACUAGUUCAAAAAAUUUGUAAAGUAUCUAAGAACAUAUCACUAUGUAUGUAUCUGUACACAUAUAUAUAAACUCUCAUAAUCUGUUCAAGAGAUCAAUGAAGGUGUCUUCUUUGCAUGGUAUUGUGAGGCCGCCUUCUGGAUGACUAAACCCAAAUUCUUCCUCAGCUUGACUUAACAGGUCUUGAAACGUAGGCUCAUCUAAGUAUGAGAUCGGAACCACAAAUCUUCUUCUCUGGUUCUCCCCAACAUAAACUGCCAUGCAUCCCUUAGGGACAUUUGUACUACGAUCAAGAUAUGUGGAGGAGGAUUGGCGGUUUAGAAUAUGCUUGAGACUAGUGAUACGAGGAACACGGAUACCCAUGAUGCUAACAAAAAAUUUGUAGUAUUCAGGAUAAACUCUGCUGAUAUUGAAAUACAAGGACUUUUGCAGAUGGAAGGCUUAGACACUUGAAUACAAUUGAUUAUGUGAUGAAUUUGGUUGAGUUUGUGAUAGCGGUUUUAUAGAGCUCGGAAGUAUUGAACAGUUGAUUGAAAUGCAGAUUGAGUGGCACAGAUGCAUUAGGCAUUAGCACAUGCUAUUCUCUUUCAAUGGCCACAUAUGUUUAAGACUAAUGGUAAGACUUAAAUGUCUGUUAAGAGACAUCAUGUCCUACUACUUUUGCUCAACUAAUCUGAACCUGAUAUCUUCUUAUUCAACCAUAUGUUUGAUGCUUAUAGCAUAGCUAAGAGAGUAUAUAAGCCUAAAAUACACUUAUAUGAACGCCAUACAAAUAAUUUGGGUGGAAACUCUUGAGUUUUAGGUGGGACAGACAAGUUAGGUGCCCAUGUGAUGGUGUUCUCUUCCCCUGUGUUAGCUGUUUAUUUUGUUGAUUUGAUGAAUCAUUUAGUAGAAAACAGUGGCUGCUGGGGCUUAAUCAAGCAGACGCAGUAAGGUUGAUGUCUCGCAACACACAGAAAUCAAAUAUUCUUGGUCUUAUAUACUUGUGCUAGUGUCUACUGCUUCUUCACCACUCGGAUAAUAUUUCUAAUAAAUUGUUUAAGUAGUUCUAUGUUCUAUAUAUACUUAUAUUUAAGCAUUAGUAGAAUUCAUCACAAACUCAAUUGCUUCAAGCUUUAAACUUACAUUUCCUUGUGUUUCUGUUGUUUUCCUCAACUCUUCAGUAAAAGAUCCUUGAUAAGUAGGGGCAUGCUGUCUUGCAACAGACAGAGAAGUCAUUCAAUCAGUCAUAAAUAUAUGUAGCUAUUGAAAGAGAAAAUCAUGUGCUAGUGUCUAAUGCCUCUUCACCACUCAAGUUACAUUUUAAAGAACUGUUCAAUUUUCUAUAUAAAUACAUAGCUGGGCAUUAGUAAAAUUCAUCUCAAACUCAACUGUCUAAAGUCUUCACUAUACAAUUCCUUUUCUUUCUCCAUAUUCUCUAAUUGAUCUAAUAGUAUUAUGGGUAUUCGUAUGCCUCGUGUUACCAAUCUCAAGAAUAUCCUAAACCCGUCUUCUUUCUUGAUAAGUCCUGAUUAUACUUCAACAGUUCCGAAGGGUUGCUUGGCAGUAUAUAUUGGGGAGAAGCAAAGAAGACGAUUUGUGGUCCCCGUUUCAUACCUGAAUAAUCCUGCCUUCCAGGACUUGUUAAAUCAAGCUGAGGAAGAAUUUGGGUUCAGCCAACCAGAAGGCGGCCUCACUAUUCCCUGCUCAGUGGAAACAUUCAUCCACCUUACUUCGAGCCUAGAUAGAAUAUAGUCAGAAAACAUUUAUGUACAGGUAGAUAGUACAGCAUUAAAAUGUAAUUAGUAGAAAGGAGAAUUUUAUAGAUUUUGUUGGCAACGGAUAAUUUGAAACUCACCAUUUUGUUGAAUUUAACAUUACCAAAAUUUAUUGAUCAUAGUUUCUACUUAUAAAUUUAGAUAUAAAAAGAGACCAUGCAACUAUUAAACUGAUGGAGAGAAAUUAUUACACAGCACACGGAUUUCCUUUAUGAAUCUUAAGUAUCCAAGAAGAUAUAAAAAGGCCAGAAUCUGAAAAACUAACUCCAUCUGACUUCGCAUAGAAAAGAAGAUGUUACAUGUGGAAACUCCCAUAUCUUCAAGCAGUCUAAUCAUCCAGGUACUUCAGCGGCAGCAAGAGCAGUUCCUUAGAUUUUAGGCAUCUAGGAAAUUUUUUCUGAUUACAAUGAGACAGCAGUUUUUCUUGUGUCUUGGCAACCUGGUGCAUGUAAUGAAAGAUGAUUUAAACUGUGAAUAUCGUCUGGUCAGAGUUGGAAAGUUAAACUGUGAACCUAUAGAUGAUGUUCUUGAAAAUACAGCAAAUUUUAUAUAAAAUGAUUGUUGAAUGCAGACAGGUUUACAUAUUAUCCUUUAGAUACUUAAAUGAAAAACAAAUGGAAUGACACAUGAAGACUACAAAAAAACCUGCACAACUGAAAUUGGAGGGUUGAGUUUGUCAACAAUUAGAGUGAUCUCGGUAACUCCAGGAUAGCAAUAUAUAUGAAUAAAUAGAUUUGACUAAACAAAAGAAAUUCUUCACUGAUGAUUUCUAAAAAACAUAUUUCUGCGUAAUGAGAUGGUUACUCUAAUCUUCCCUAGGUCAUCAAAUGGAAGUGGACUGACUACUAACAAUUCGGCUGGGUACUAACAUAGUACCCAGCCGAAUUGUUAGUACCAGAUAAUAGCUAUUUGUUUCUUAUAUUUGCGCAAGACUAAAGUGAGGUUAACAGAUGUAUUAUACAUGGAAAAGCCACUUCAGACUACAAAGACCUGGAAAUUUCUCUUCUCUUGAACACUUACAUUUGUGAUUGGAACCAAUAAUGUAUAAAACUGCUAAUCUGUAUUUAUAAUAAAAACUACUUAUAGAGAUAUAUAAUGACUACAUAAUGAUUGCAGAGAUCAAAUCUAUGUAGAAAUUGAUGUAAUCAAAUUACAAAGUAUCAGCUAAUGCUCUCCCUAAAAGAUUUAUAUGAGAGUCAUAUAUAAAAUUUCUGGACUAGUUUACAAAAUUUGUACACUAUCUAACAACAUAUAUAUAAACUCUCAUAAUCUGUUCAAGAGAUCAAGGAAGGUGUCUUCUUUGCAUGGAAUUGUGAGGCCGCCUUCUGGAUGACUAAACCCAAAUUCUUCCUCAGCCUGACUUAACAGGUCUUGGAACGUAGGCUCGUUUAAGUAAGAGAUCGGAACUACAAAUCUUCUUCUUUGGUUCUCCCCAACAUAAACUGCAACACAUCCCUUUGGGACAUUUGUACUACAAUCAAGGUUUUUUAAAGAAAAUUGUCUGUUGAGAAUUUGCUUUAGAUUAGUGAUAUGAGGCACACGAAUACCCAUGAUGCCUUAAGAAAAAUCGAAAUUUCAACGUAUAAUCUCCGGGGAUAUAGAAAAUACAAGAACUUAUGCAGAUGGUAGGCUUAGACCCUUAAUUCCACAAGAUUUUGUGAUGAAUUUGGUUGAGGAGAUUUUGUGAUGAAUUUGGUUGAGGAUAUCACAGUUUUUAUAUGGAAAUAACAAGUAAUGAGCGGUUGAUCAAAAUACAGAUCGAGUGGCACAGAUGCAUCAGGCAAUAGCACAUGGUAUUCUCUUUCAAAGGCCACACAUAUUUAAGAGUAAUGCUAGGACUUGAAUGUCUGCUGAGAGACAUCAUGUCCUAUGGCUUCUGUUCAACAAAUCUGGACCUGAUAUGUUUUAUAUUUUAAGCUUAUGGUGGAGAUAAGACAGAAUAUAACGUAAUAUAUACGGAUAUGAACAACAUACAAAUAAUUUGGCUGGAAAGUUCUCACUUUGCCUGGCAAGCAAGGUAGCAAAUUUUAAGUUUUUAGUUUUUGUGGUCAGUAGUCUGAGUGGGACAAACAAGUUAGGUACUCAUGUGAUAGUGUUUUCAUUCACCUCAUAUAAGUUUCUGUAAGAAACAGAUUAUCAGACUGGUAGGAAACACCUCAUAUAAGUUUCAUGUGAUGGUGUUUUCUUGACCUAUCUCAGCUGUUUCUUUUGUUGAAUUGAUGGUCUAGCUGCAUUAUGUCAAAAUAUCAACUUGAAGCUGGAAGAAACACUGUCACAUGAACACUUAUUAUUUCAAACCCAAAUCAUGUGCUAGUGUCUAAAGCCUACUCACUGCUCAAUGUACAAUUUGAUGAGAUGUUCUACACAACUUCCUCAUUGUUCUAUAUAAAUACAUAAUUAAGCGACUAACAUUCAUCACAAACUCACUGGUCUAAAGUCUUUUCCUUAAAACUGUACAAGUCCUAGUGUUUCUUCAGUUUUCUGAACUCUUCUCUGAAAGAUCUAUAGUGUCAUGGGUAUCCGUAUGCUUCGUAUUACUAAUCUCAAACAAAUCCUUAACCUCUCAUCUUUCUUAUUAAAUCCUGAUCUUACUUCAACGAUUCCAAAGGGGUGCUUGGCAGUUUAUAUUGGGGAGAGGCAAAGAAGCCGAUAUGUGGUACCUAUUUCAUACCUGAAUGAGCCUGCCUUUCAAGAUUUGUUAAGUCAAGCCGAGGAAGAAUUUGGUUUCAAUCAUCCGGAAGGAGGUCUUACAAUUCCUUGCUCAGUGGACACAUUCAAUGAAAUCACUUCGCGCCUGAACAAUUUAUAUACUUGUAGAUAGUACAGCACCUCCGACCUCAUUUAUUGAGUUUCUGAGUGUAAAUUGUAGAACAAAUAGAUUUUUCAUAUAUGAUUUGUAGGGAANGAAAUUUCAACGUAUAAUCUCCGGGGAUAUAGAAAAUACAAGAACUUAUGCAGAUGGUAGGCUUAGACCCUUAAUUCCACAAGAUUUUGUGAUGAAUUUGGUUGAGGAGAUUUUGUGAUGAAUUUGGUUGAGGAUAUCACAGUUUUUAUAUGGAAAUAACAAGUAAU
This 6659-nucleotide long non-coding RNA is filed under the name Daucus carota (carrot). Its description in RNAcentral is "long non-coding RNA (DCAR_LNC001133)". Lineage: Eukaryota; Viridiplantae; Streptophyta; Magnoliopsida; Apiales; Apiaceae. The record is from RNAcentral.